AUGUGGCCCUGGAGUGUGCUGGCUUCCUCACCGGGAUUGGGCUGGACACCACCAUCAUGAUGCGCAGCAUCCCCCUCCGCGGCUUCGACCAGCAAAUGUCCUCCAUGGUCAUAGAGCACAUGGCAUCUCAUGGCACCCGGUUCCUGAGGGGCUGUGCCCCCUCGCGGGUCAGGAGGCUCCCUGAUGGCCAGCUGCAGGUCACCUGGGAGGACAGCACCACCGGCAAGGAGGACACGGGCACCUUUGACACCGUCCUGUGGGCCAUAGGGCUCCCCCAUCCUGCUGGCUGCCAGGCGGGUUGGCCGCUCCCCAGUGCACCUCGAGAGCAACCGUGAAGGCCUGUGGGGCGGCACUCACACUAGGCUGUGCCCAUCUUGCCAUCCCCAGCACCUUGCAUCUCUGCGUGUCUCCCCACCACCGUGGGACAUGCUGGAAAAAACCAGAGAAGAGACUGAGACGGCAUCAGCCAGGUGUCCUCAUCGAGGAUCAACUAGGCAAUCAUCCUCGCCUUCCCUGGCCCUUGAGCAAUUGCUUAUUAAGGUUUCAGCACAUAAAUCCUACUUGUCACCUUC
RNAcentral lists this long non-coding RNA (572 nucleotides) under Homo sapiens (human). Its description in RNAcentral is "non-protein coding lnc-GNB1L-2:1". Lineage: Eukaryota; Metazoa; Chordata; Mammalia; Primates; Hominidae. The record is from RNAcentral.